Molecule: long non-coding RNA, 667 nt
Filed under: Mustela putorius furo (domestic ferret)
Lineage: Eukaryota; Metazoa; Chordata; Mammalia; Carnivora; Mustelidae
Description: lncRNA (ENSMPUG00000025028.1)
Source: RNAcentral
GUGUAACCACGUGGCCAAUAAGCAAUCAGCUUCUCCGGCAAGGGCUGGGUUACCUUCGGAACAGUAGCUACGGGCCGCAGAAGGAACCUCAACUCCUCACACGUUACUUCGUUGCUAAUGUGAAACUUGGGAGCAAGAUUUGUCGUUUGCAACCCUAAUGAGUAUCACGUCUCCAAUCUGCACCACGUUUUGUGCCUUCUGUUUUAGCCUCCUCAUUUUCUUCCCGUCAAGAACGUUUAGACCUAGAGACAGAGCACGCACGUUAGUGGUGGAGGAGCAGCAGAGGAAGAGGGAGAGAGAGGAUCCCAAGCAGGCACAGAGCCCUUCAUAAGGCUCAAUCUCACAAUCUUGAGAAUCAUGACCUGAGCUGAAAUUAAGAGUCGAUUGCUUACCCAACUGAGCCACCCAGGUGUUCUGUGCUUUACACUCUUAAAUAAUUUUUUCAUCUGCCAAGUUAGGACUUAAAAACCUGAAAUCACUUUUCAUGUGCCAAAUUUCCAUUUUGUAUAUCAGCUAAUGGAUAAAUAUCUUAAGUCUUUCUAUAGGGGCAGCAUAUGCCACUUAAUAUGCCUAUUUCAAUAGUUUCCAUCAAGAUCUGUAUUGUGCAAUAUUUCAGAAUGACUAAUAACAGAUCGAAGGGACCACAGAUCACUCAACUGAACCUGUG